RNAcentral lists this long non-coding RNA (2141 nucleotides) under Canis lupus familiaris (dog). Its description in RNAcentral is "lncRNA (ENSCAFG00030018915.1)". Lineage: Eukaryota; Metazoa; Chordata; Mammalia; Carnivora; Canidae. The record is from RNAcentral.
CCUGCAGCCGCGAUGCAGCCCGGCUCAGCCCAGCUUCUCCCAGACGGACGGCCUGGGGUGCGGGGCGCUGGCCACCCUCCCGUGUCCGGCCGACACGCGGGGACAGGACCCUGCCUCACGCGUUGCUGAGGAGCAGGGCCCAGGGAAGCCGGAACCGGGCCGGGUGCCCCGUCCCGGGUCCACAGGCCCCGCCGCCCUGUUUCCAAAACCCAGGCCGAGGCCUGGAUACCCAACGCCCUUGCAGUAACAGAGUAAAGAGUAAUUUUCCCCACUAAUGUAUUUUCUCUCGACCUUUCCGCAGUAAGGCACGUUAAGGUGUGUAGGUCCUCUCAGAGCACGCCUCCCCUGUGUCUUCCAGCCGCCGCCGCCUCCUUCUCCUCCUCCUCCUAAGUAUCGGUGUCUCCAAGGCCCUAUUUUUGAUUCUUUGUCUUUCUCUUUUCAGCCUCCCUCUCAGGGCCUCUCCGCUCCCCUUAGCUCCGCUUACCACUGCCCUGCUAGCCUUCUUGGACCGUCCCAGAACCUUCCCGAAAUGCAGCCUGGCACAGCAGCCUGCAGUGCCAGCUGGGGAAGAGGCAGCAGUAGCAGGAACCUUUGCCAGCCCGGCCUUUGGGACGGCUCUGAACACAGCAGGGAGGAGCUGAAUGCAUUUCAACUGCAGCCAACAACCGGUAGAUUCGAUUUUAAUUUACCGGGUCAAACAAUCAUUGUGCCAGUUCGGGAUGUCACCCACAGAUAGGAACAGUUGUCUUCCAGGGGAAGGCGCUGGAAGAGGUGGUCAACAAGCAGCCCGACAGCCAGGCCUCACCCCACCGUCCCGUGGCCUGCGAUGAGGUGACGCUGCCCUGCCAACCUCGGGGGUGCAGUUAAACCUGUGAGGUCCCCAGCUCAGCCCACCCUCCCCACUGCUCAGCACUCUUUUUAUUUGCCUCCUUUUACCAUCCCCCUGGGCCACAUUCCCAUCCCUUUUCCUACUCUUCUAACACCCCCACCCACCUCCUCCUCUGUAGACAAUCCACCUCUCCAACAGCUUUUCCAGAAUCUAGCUGGGAACCAGCCAGUAGCAGCCUCAGUACUUUCCCCUUCCCUGUUUGUAUAUAGCAAAGGCUUCCAUUUAACUAGAAAGACAUGUUUUUUUACUUAAAUUUCCCUUGAAAAUACACAAGGGUUUAAAUUAGGGCAAAAAUUGCAUUUUCAAAUCACAAACGUUUUUGCCAAAAUCCAAAAUGUUUGAGAAAAUAGGUCAAGAGGCUUUCUUAAAGCGUCAGGUUUUCCCAUCUGUGGUUAGAUUUGUAGAUCACAUGUGAGGCCCUUUCAUGUGUGGAUGUCGUCGUUCCAAGAGCCUGCUGGCCGCGCCUUUUAUUUCUCCAGGCAAGGGUAGAGCACCAUGGGGGUGCGCUGAGGACCUGUGAGCCUGGGCGGCAGUUCCUAAGGAGGGCUGUGCCCUUGAACAUACUCCCCAGCUCCCUGGGUCUCAGGAAAUGGGGAUGGCACCAGAUUAACCAUAACGGAGCCUGGAAACUUCAUGUCCCAGGGGACCCCGAGAUUCUCGGAUAAUACACGGACAUCCCGAUUCUUCCUCCUUAUCAGGAGGGAAGACGGGGGUGAGAGGUGGAAUUACCCACAUCCCUAAUUGCAGAGGCUCAUUCAAACACUGAGCUAGGUUUUGCAAGGUGAUGUUUUCAGCCCGGCCUUCUGCAUUGUAGCCGUGCCCAGCAACGGAGGGGGGGCAAAAUUCAUGGGAGCCACUAGGAUCAAGACCUUCCUCCCUGAGCUGUACAAUGAAGGCCGGGGCCCUCUGAGGGCAGGGGUUGGAAUUAUCACCGUGCGACGACCAAAAUCCUACAAACCCUGUGAUUUUUUUUUUUUUGGUUGCCCUUAAUAUGUUAAUACGUGCUAAGCGCUACCUGAAGGAGAGUAAGCGCUUUGUGUAUAUGUGUGUAUGUGCACGCGCACGUGUGUGUAAGCACCAGCACCGAGGUCUCUAUGAAAAUAGAUCAAGAAAGAAUUCUGCGACAUUCACAAGCCUGAGGUCCAGGGUUGUUGUUGUUGUUUUUCUUCUCUUUUUUUUUAAGUGAGUAUGUAUGUGCGCACAUGCGCAUGAGAGCUAAAGAAUCCACAAAACCCUCAACUGAACACUAAGU